This 608-nucleotide ribosomal RNA is filed under the name uncultured bacterium. RNAcentral describes it as "bacterial SSU rRNA". It matches the Rfam family "Bacterial small subunit ribosomal RNA", at positions 93 to 740 of the family's 1533-position model. The record is from RNAcentral.
GAGUGGCAGACGGGUGAGUAACGCGUGGGAACCUUCCCUAUGGUUCGGAAUAGCUCAGGGAAACUUGAGGUAAUACCGGAUAAGCCGGGGGAAAGAUUUAUCGCCAUUGGAUGGGCCCGCGUAGGAUUAGCUAGUUGGUGAGGUAACGGCUCACCAAGGCGACGAUCCUUAGCUGGUCUGAGAGGAUGAUCAGCCACACUGGGACUGAGACACGGCCCAGACUCCUACGGGAGGCAGCAGUGGGGAAUAUUGGACAAUGGGCGCAAGCCUGAUCCAGCCAUGCCGCGUGAGUGACGAAGGCCUUAGGGUUGUAAAGCUCUUUUGGCGGGGAAGAUAAUGACGGUACCCGCAGAAUAAGCUCCGGCUAACUUCGUGCCAGCAGCCGCGGUAAUACGAAGGGAGCUAGCGUUGUUCGGAAUCACUGGGCGUAAAGCGCACGUAGGCGGAUGUGUCAGUCAGGGGUGAAAUCCCGGAGCUCAACUUCGGAACUGCCUUUGAUACAGCACGUCUUGAGUCCGAUAGAGGUGGGUGGAAUUCCUAGUGUAGAGGUGAAAUUCGUAGAUAUUAGGAAGAACACCGGUGGCGAAGGCGGCCCACUGGAUCGGUAC